This 407-nucleotide ribosomal RNA is filed under the name uncultured bacterium. RNAcentral describes it as "bacterial SSU rRNA". It matches the Rfam family "Bacterial small subunit ribosomal RNA", at positions 355 to 776 of the family's 1533-position model. The record is from RNAcentral.
CUGGGAAUUUUGCGCAAUGGACGAAAGUCUGACGCAGCGACACCGCGUGUGGGAUGAAGUAUUUCGGUAUGUAAACCACUGUGGCGAGGGAUGACUAAAGACAGUACCUCGCUAGAAAGCAUCUGCUAACUACGUGCCAGAAGCCUCGGCAAUGCGUGGGAUGCGAGCGUUAUCCGGAUUUACUGGGCGUAAAGGGUUUCGCAGGCGGAUUGUUAAGUCUAGUCUUAAAUACUGGGGCUCAACCCCAGAUACAGGACCGGAUACUGGCAAUCUUGAGGGUAUCAGGGGGGACUGGAACACUCGGUGGAGGGGUGAAAUCCGUUGAGAUCGAGUGGAACGCCAAUGGCGAAAGCAGGUCCCUGGGGUAUUUCUGACGCUCAGGUACGAAAGCUAGGGGAGCAAACGGG